RNAcentral lists this ribosomal RNA (484 nucleotides) under uncultured bacterium. Its description in RNAcentral is "partial 16S ribosomal RNA". It matches the Rfam family "Bacterial small subunit ribosomal RNA", at positions 29 to 507 of the family's 1533-position model. The record is from RNAcentral.
AUUGAACGCUGGCGGCAUGCUUUACACAUGCAAGUCGAACGGCAGCGCGGGCUUCGGCCUGGCGGCGAGUGGCGAACGGGUGAGUAAUACAUCGGAACGUGCCCAGUCGUGGGGGAUAGCUCGGCGAAAGCCGGAUUAAUACCGCAUACGACCUGAGGGUGAAAGCGGGGGAUCUUCGGACCUCGCGCUAUUGGAGCGGCCGAUGGCAGAUUAGCUAGUUGGUGUGGUAAAGGCCUACCAAGGCGACGAUCUGUAGCUGGUCUGAGAGGACGACCAGCCACACUGGGACUGAGACACGGCCCAGACUCCUACGGGAGGCAGCAGUGGGGAAUUUUGGACAAUGGGCGAAAGCCUGAUCCAGCAAUGCCGCGUGUGUGAUGAAGGCCUUCGGGUUGUAAAGCACUUUUGGCGGGAACGAAAAGGACUGUGCCAAUACCACGGUUCGAUGACGGUACCCGCAGAAUAAGCACCGGCUAACUACGUG